GGAUGUAAAGGCAAGCUGACUAUGACCUCUGUCACCACAUUGAUCACCAGGGUUGAUUUGGCUGAUCUGCGAGGCUAGGUGGGUUUCCCCUUCCUCCCUCACUGCUGCAUGUGUGCCCCUCCCAAAGCUGUGCACUUGGUUGAAAAGGACAACCUUUCCUGAAUAGAGGAGGAUCCAUCUCUGGUCAAGUGUACACACAUAGCUGUACUCUCGUGCUAAAACCUCCAAACAAGCUCUCAAAAGAUUAUUUCUUUUACUUUCCAUUCAAGUCUUGCCCAUUUUCUUAAUAUUUUCAUUUAAAGACAUAUUUUCCAUU
RNAcentral lists this small nuclear RNA (316 nucleotides) under Jaculus jaculus (lesser Egyptian jerboa). Its description in RNAcentral is "7SK RNA (ENSJJAG00000005399.1)". It matches the Rfam family "7SK RNA". Rfam says of the family: 7SK was discovered as an abundant small nuclear RNA in the mid-70s but a possible function has only recently been suggested. Two independent studies have found that 7SK RNA binds the CDK9/cyclin T complex (known as elongation factor P-TEFb). The record is from RNAcentral. Lineage: Eukaryota; Metazoa; Chordata; Mammalia; Rodentia; Dipodidae.